GACGAACGCUGGCGGCGUGCUUAACACAUGCAAGUCGAACGGACAGGCCCUGCUUUUGUGGGGUGCUCGAGUGGCGAACGGGUGAGUAACACGCGAGUAACCUGCCCUUGACUUUGGGAUAACUUCAGGAAACUGGGGCUAAUACCGGAUAGGAGCUCCUGCUGCAUGGUGGGGGUUGGAAAGUUUCGGCGGUUGGGGAUGGACUCGCGGCAUAUCAGCUUGUUGGUGGGGUAGUUGCUUACCAAGGCUUUGACGGGUAGCCGGCCUGCGAGGGUGACCGGCCACAUGGGGACUGAGGUACGGCCCAGUCGCCUACGGGAGGCAGCAGUGGAGAAUCUUACACAAUGGGCGGGAGCCUGAGGCAGCAACGCCGCGUGCGGGAUAACGGCCUUCGGGUUGUAAACCGCUUUCGCCUGAGACGUAGCGUGAGUGACGGUAAUUAGUAAAGAAGCACCGGCUAACUACGUG
RNAcentral lists this ribosomal RNA (468 nucleotides) under uncultured bacterium. Its description in RNAcentral is "partial 16S ribosomal RNA". It matches the Rfam family "Bacterial small subunit ribosomal RNA", at positions 28 to 507 of the family's 1533-position model. The record is from RNAcentral.